GACCACGUAGCUCAGUUGGCAGAGCGUUGGGCUAGUAUCCAAAGGUCGUAGCUUUGAUUCCCACCGUGGUCA
This 72-nucleotide transfer RNA is filed under the name Paramuricea clavata. It matches the Rfam family "tRNA". Rfam says of the family: Transfer RNA (tRNA) molecules are approximately 80 nucleotides in length. Their secondary structure includes four short double-helical elements and three loops (D, anti-codon, and T loops). Further hydrogen bonds mediate the characteristic L-shaped molecular structure. tRNAs have two regions of fundamental functional importance: the anti-codon, which is responsible for specific mRNA codon recognition, and the 3' end, to which the tRNAs corresponding amino acid is attached (by aminoacyl-tRNA synthetases). tRNAs cope with the degeneracy of the genetic code in two manners: having more than one tRNA (with a specific anti-codon) for a particular amino acid; and 'wobble' base-pairing, i.e. permitting non-standard base-pairing at the 3rd anti-codon position. Lineage: Eukaryota; Metazoa; Cnidaria; Anthozoa; Malacalcyonacea; Plexauridae. The record is from Rfam by way of RNAcentral.